UGCACCCUGGCCCCAGGUUGCCCGUAUCUCUGGCUGUACCAUUCAUCUGCAGCCACAGUGACCUCACCCCUGUGCCACAAUGCACCAACUGGGCCUGGGCCCCAGGGCCUUUGCACAUGCCAUUCCCCAGCUCUCUUUGUGGUGCUCCUUGUUUGUUGCCGAGCUGUCCCCUAGUGAUGCCUUCCCCUGGCCAGCCCCUCACUCCUCUUACCUCAUGCUUUCUUCCUAGGACUCAUCACUCACACUAGAAAUCACCCUGCUUGUUUAUCCUAUUUUUUGCCUGCCUCCUUCCCCUGGAAUGUCACCAUAGCCAGGUGGAGGUUUUGUCAGCUUUGUUCACUGCUGCACACCCAGCCCCCAGCACAGGUCCUGCAUGGAGCAGGUGCCCAGGAAACUCGAAUGGGGAAGAAAUGAAUGGGGGAACGAACAUUUUUCUGCAGAUGAGAGGACUCAGGGCCCUGGACUCCCAUUCCAGUGCUCUUGCUGCAGACUCUGGAGCAGUGGCUGCCUGUGCACGGUCUGUGCCCUCGCGGGGCUGGAGGGGUUUUGUCUGUGGUUCUCUGAUGUGUCCCCAGAGCCUGGCACAGAGAUGAAGUUUCAGUUUUGCCUCUCUUUGUCAUGACUGUGUCUCCUGCCUAUACCAAAGCAGCCGGCACAAGAAGGUGCACCACCAAGAGCUGUACAGUGGGUGAAUGAAUGAAUCAAUAAAUAAACAAGAAGUGCUCAGCACCAGGUCCUG
Long non-coding RNA from Fukomys damarensis (Damara mole-rat), 739 nucleotides. RefSeq lists it as uncharacterized. The transcript is spliced from 3 exons. Lineage: Eukaryota; Metazoa; Chordata; Mammalia; Rodentia; Bathyergidae. The record is from RefSeq and is a predicted model, not a curated record.